Molecule: ribosomal RNA, 684 nt
Filed under: Triticum aestivum (bread wheat)
Lineage: Eukaryota; Viridiplantae; Streptophyta; Magnoliopsida; Poales; Poaceae
Description: partial small subunit ribosomal RNA
Source: RNAcentral
AAGGGAAUAAUAAACAUGCCGGAGAAAAAGUUCCAAAACCUGAAGUCUCACGACUGCCACGUGAUUAUGACGCAAUUGCUUCCGAUUGCUUUGGGGGGGCUCCUACCGGAAAAUGUUCGAGUAGCCAUUGUGAAGCUAUGUGCAUUCCUCAAUGCAAUCUCUCAGAAGGUAAUCAAUCCAGAAGAUCUACCACGGUUACAGAACGAUGUGGUCCAAUGCCUUGUCAGUUUCGAGUUGGUGUUCCCACCAUCCUUCUUCAAUAUUAUGACGCACCUCCUGGUCCACCUAGUCGAAGAGAUUUCCAUUCUCGGUCCUGUAUUUCUACACAAUAUGUUCCCCUUUGAGAGGUUCAUGGGAGUAUUAAAGAAAUAUGUUCGUAACCGUGCUAGGCCAGAAGGAAGCAUCUCCAAGGGCCAUCAAAAUGAGGAGGUAAUUGAGUUCUGUAUUGACUAUGUUCCUGACCUUAAGCCGAUUGGUAUUCCUCAAUCGCGGUACGAGGGGAGACUAAGUGGAAAAGGCAAGAUCGGAAGGGAUACCACGAUAUGUAUGGACGGUCAUUCUAUGACUGAAGCACACCACACAGUUCUGCAAAAUUCCAGCUUGGUGGCUCCGUACUUCGAGCAAUACAAGAAUAUUUUACGCUCGGACAACCCGGGGAAGCCUGAAUCCUGGAUUAGAAAGGCC